Molecule: long non-coding RNA, 452 nt
Organism: Numida meleagris (helmeted guineafowl)
Lineage: Eukaryota; Metazoa; Chordata; Aves; Galliformes; Numididae
Exons: 3
Source: RefSeq, a predicted model, not a curated record
CUAGAAGCCGUGCUCUUUGGGUUUUGGAGCAAGAAACAAGGAGGAAACCUGUCUGCCAUAGACAAGCCUGUUCUCAGUAGAGCAGAGGAGAAUGCCCUGUGUGUGAGACAUGUGGCUCUGGAUCUACAUGUCUAGUGAUGCCCUUUGACAUCCUCUGAUGACCAGUGCUGCCCUCUGAUGACCAAUGCUGCCCUCUGAUGACCAAUGAAGACCUUGAUGAUCAAUGACACCCUCUGAUGAUCAAUAAAUCCCCCCAGCAAAGCCACACUCUCUGUGUCUGUGUCCUUCUUCCCAUGCUCAGCUGGGACUGCACAGAUCUCUCCCCGCCUGGCAGUGGCCGCCCCAAAGCUUUAGGAAGGGUCCCCAGCUCCGUGCCACGCUCACCACGUCCUACGCCCCCGUGGGCUCCCCCACCCUCUCUCACCAUCUCCUCCCAAAUCCUAAAGGAUGGA